Molecule: long non-coding RNA, 209 nt
Filed under: Mytilus galloprovincialis (Mediterranean mussel)
Lineage: Eukaryota; Metazoa; Mollusca; Bivalvia; Mytilida; Mytilidae
Source: RNAcentral
AUUUAUCAAGUAAAGAUCUAUUUGCCCUGAAAUUUUCAGAUGAAUCGGACAACCGGUUGUUGGGUUGCUGUCCCUAAUUUGGUAAUUUUUAAGGAAAUUUUGACGUUUUUGGUUAUUAUCUUGAAUGUUAUUAUAGAUAGAGAUAAACUGUAAACAGCAAUAAUGUUAAGCAAAGUAAGACCUAUAAAUAAGUCAAAUGACCAAAAUGG